AUACGGAGGAUACGAGCGUUAUCCGGAUUUAUUGGGUUUAAAGGGUGCGCAGGCGGCCAUUUAAGUCAGCGGUUAAAUCGUGGGGCUCAACCCCAUUCUGCCAUUGAUACUGGGUGGCUUGAUUGCGGUCGAGGUUGGCGGAAUUCGUUGUGGAGCGGUGAAAUGCAUAGAUAUGACGAAGAAAACCGAUUGCGUAGGCAGCUGACCAGACCGCAAAUGACGCUCAUGCACGAAAGUGCGGGGAUCGAACAGGAUUAGAUACCCUGGUAGUCCGCACAGUAAACGAUGAAUACUUGUUUUCGGCGAUAUAAUGUCGGAGGCAAAGCGAAAGCGAUAAGUAUUCCACCUGGGGAGUACGCCGGCAACGGUGAAACUCAAAUGAAUUGGCGGG
RNAcentral lists this ribosomal RNA (391 nucleotides) under uncultured bacterium. Its description in RNAcentral is "partial 16S ribosomal RNA". It matches the Rfam family "Bacterial small subunit ribosomal RNA", at positions 523 to 917 of the family's 1533-position model. The record is from RNAcentral.